Molecule: ribosomal RNA, 457 nt
Filed under: uncultured bacterium
Lineage: Bacteria
Description: SSU rRNA
Rfam family: Bacterial small subunit ribosomal RNA
Source: RNAcentral
AGAAUCAACGCUGGCGGCGUGCCUAACACAUGCAAGUCGAACGAGAAAGUGGAGCAAUCCAUGAGUAAAGUGGCGACCGGGUGAGUAACACGUGACUAACCUACCUUUGAGUGGGGGAUAACAUCGGGAAACCGAUGCUAAUACCGCAUAACAUCGCAAGAUCAAAGCAGCAAUGCGCUUAAAGAGGGGGUCGCGGCUGAUUAGCUAGUUGGCGGGGUAACGCCACCAAGCGAAGAUCGGUAUCCGGCCUGAGAGGGCGCACGGACACACUGGAACUGAAACACGGUCCAGACUCCUACGGGAGGCAGCAGUGGGGAAUUUUGCGCAAUGGGGGAAACCCUGACGCAGCAACGCCGCGUGGAGGAUGAAGCCCCUUGGGGCGUAAACUCCUUUCGACCAAGACGAUAAUGACGGUACUGGUGGAAGAAGCACCGGCUAACUCUGCGCCAGCAGCCGC